AUGCAUGUCUAAGUAUAAGCAAUCUAUACAGUGAAACUGCGAAUGGCUCAUUAAAUCAGUUAUCGUUUAUUUGAUAGUACCUUACUACUUGGAUAACCGUGGUAAUUCUAGAGCUAAUACAUGCUAAAAACCUCGACUUCGGAAGGGGUGUAUUUAUUAGAUAAAAAACCAAUGCCCUUCGGGGCUCCUUGGUGAUUCAUAAUAACUUAACGAAUCGCAUGGCCUUGUGCCGGCGAUGGUUCAUUCAAAUUUCUGCCCUAUCAACUUUCGAUGGUAUGGUCUUGGCUUACCAUGGUUUCAACGGGUAACGGGGAAUUAGGGUUCUAUUCCGGAGAGGGAGCCUGAGAAACGGCUACCACAUCCAAGGAAGGCAGCAGGCGCGCAAAUUACCCAAUCCCGACACGGGGAGGUAGUGACAAUAAAUACUGAUACAGGGCUCUUUUGGGUCUUGUAAUUGGAAUGAGUACAAUUUAAAUCCCUUAACGAGGAACAAUUGGAGGGCAAGUCUGGUGCCAGCAGCCGCGGUAAUUCCAGCUCCAAUAGCGUAUAUUAAAGUUGUUGCAGUUAAAAAGCUCGUAGUUGAACCUUGGGCCUGGUUGGCCGGUCCGCCUCACCGCGUGCACUGGUCCGACCGGGUCUUUCCUUCUGACUAGCCGCAUGCCCUUCACUGGGUGUGUUGGGGAAUCAGGACUUUUACUUUGAAAAAAUUAGAGUGUUCAAAGCAGGCCUAUGCUCGAAUACAUUAGCAUGGAAUAAUAGAAUAGGACGUGUGGUUCUAUUUUGUUGGUUUCUAGGACCGCCGUAAUGAUUAAUAGGGAUAGUCGGGGGUGUCAGUAUUGCGUUGUCAGAGGUGAAAUUCUUGGAUUUACGCAAGACUAACUACUGCGAAAGCAUUCACCAAGGAUGUUUUCAUUAAUCAGUGAACGAAAGUUAGGGGAUCGAAGACGAUCAGAUACCGUCGUAGUCUUAACCAUAAACUAUGCCGACUAGGGAUCGGGCGAUGUUAUCUUUUUGACUCGCUCGGCACCUUACGAGAAAUCAAAGUCUUUGGGUUCUGGGGGGAG
Molecule: ribosomal RNA, 1064 nt
Filed under: Phialocephala sp. AU_BD21
Lineage: Eukaryota; Fungi; Ascomycota; Leotiomycetes; Helotiales; Mollisiaceae
Description: SSU rRNA
Rfam family: Eukaryotic small subunit ribosomal RNA
Source: RNAcentral